This 468-nucleotide ribosomal RNA is filed under the name uncultured bacterium. Its description in RNAcentral is "partial 16S ribosomal RNA". It matches the Rfam family "Bacterial small subunit ribosomal RNA", at positions 28 to 507 of the family's 1533-position model. The record is from RNAcentral.
GACGAACGCUGGCGGCGUGCUUAACACAUGCAAGUCGAACGGAAAGGCCCUGCUUUUGUGGGGUGCUCGAGUGGCGAACGGGUGAGUAACACGUGAGUAACCUGCCCUUGACUUUGGGAUAACUUCAGGAAACUGGGGCUAUUCCCGGUUGGAACUCCCGCCUGCUGGGUGGGGGUGGGAAAUUUUCGGCGGUUGGGGUUGGAUUCGCGGCUUAUCAGCUUGUUGGUGGGGUGGUGGCUUACCAAGGCUUUGACGGGUAGCCGGCCUGAGAGGGUGACCGGCCACAUUGGGACUGAGAUACGGCCCAGACUCCUACGGGAGGCAGCAGUGGGGAAUAUUGCACAAUGGGCGGAAGCCUGAUGCAGCAACGCCGCGUGCGGGAUGACGGCCUUCGGGUUGUAAACCGCUUUCGCCUGUGACGAAGCGUGAGUGACGGUAAUGGGUAAAGAAGCACCGGCUAACUACGUG